RNAcentral lists this ribosomal RNA (455 nucleotides) under uncultured bacterium. RNAcentral describes it as "bacterial SSU rRNA". It matches the Rfam family "Bacterial small subunit ribosomal RNA", at positions 1 to 507 of the family's 1533-position model. The record is from RNAcentral.
CACGAGUUUGAUCAUGGCUCAGAACGAACGCUGGCGGCAGGCCUAACACAUGCAAGUCGAGCGAACCCUUCGGGGUUAGCGGCGGACGGGUUAGUAACGCGUGGGAAUAUACCCUUUGGUACGGAAUAGCCUCGGGAAACUGAGAGUAAUACCGUAAUGUGCCCUUCGGGGGAAAGAUUAUCGCCAAAGGAUUAGCCCGCGUUGGAUUAGAUAGUUGGUGGGGUAAUGGCCUACCAAGUCUACGAUCCAUAGCUGGUUUGAGAGGAUGAUCAGCAACACUGGGACUGAGACACGGCCCAGACUCCUACGGGAGGCAGCAGUGGGGAAUCUUAGACAAUGGGCGCAAGCCUGAUCUAGCCAUGCCGCGUGGACGAUGAAGGCCUUAGGGUUGUAAAGUCCUUUCAGAUGGGAAGAUAAUGACGGUACCAUCAGAAGAAGCCCCGGCUAACUCCGUG